Molecule: ribosomal RNA, 496 nt
Filed under: uncultured bacterium
Lineage: Bacteria
Description: partial 16S ribosomal RNA
Rfam family: Bacterial small subunit ribosomal RNA
Source: RNAcentral
AUGCACGCUGGCGGCGUGCCUCAUCCAUGCAAGUCGAGCGAACAGACGAGGAGCUUGCUCCUCUGACGUUAGCGGCGGACGGGUGAGUAACACGUGGAUAACCUACCUAUAAGACUGGGAUAACUUCGGGAAACCGGAGCUAAUACCGGAUAAUAUAUUGAACCGCAUGGUUCAAUAGUGAAAGACGGUUUUGCUGUCACUUAUGGAUGGAUCCGCGCCGCAUUAGCUAGUUGGUAAGGUAACGGCUUACCAAGGCAACGAUGCGUAGCCGACCUGAGAGGGUGAUCGGCCACACUGGAACUGAGACACGGUCCAGACUCCUACGGGAGGCAGCAGUAGGGAAUCUUCCGCAAUGGGCGAAAGCCUGACGGAGCAACGCCGCGUGAGUGAUGAAGGUCUUCGGAUCGUAAAACUCUGUUAUUAGGGAAGAACAAAUGUGUAAGUAACUAUGCACGUCUUGACGGUACCUAAUCAGAAAGCCACGGCUAACUACGUG